RNAcentral lists this ribosomal RNA (253 nucleotides) under uncultured bacterium. Its description in RNAcentral is "partial 16S ribosomal RNA". It matches the Rfam family "Bacterial small subunit ribosomal RNA", at positions 524 to 776 of the family's 1533-position model. The record is from RNAcentral.
UACGAAGGGGGCUAGCGUUGCUCGGAAUCACUGGGCGUAAAGGGUGCGUAGGCGGGGCUUUAAGUCAGGGGUGAAAUCCUGGAGCUCAACUCCAGAACUGCCUUUGAUACUGAGGAUCUUGAGUUCGGGAGAGGUGAGUGGAACUGCGAGUGUAGAGGUGAAAGUCGUAGAUAUUCGCAAGAACACCAGUGGCGAAGGCGGCGCACUGGACCACAACUGACGCUGAGGCGCGAAAGCUAGGGGAGCAAACAGG